RNAcentral lists this unclassified non-coding RNA (284 nucleotides) under Pollicipes pollicipes. Its description in RNAcentral is "putative sodium-coupled neutral amino acid transporter 7, transcript variant X1". The record is from RNAcentral. Lineage: Eukaryota; Metazoa; Arthropoda; Thecostraca; Pollicipedomorpha; Pollicipedidae.
UUGAGGCGUUUAAGGCGCGCUCCGCUCUUUGUUGACUGCGGUGGUUUGUCGCGGGGGUGCCGCGGUUCCGUUUCAUGGGGUGGUCGCUGAUGUUACGCUGAUCUGUUCAUCUAAGAAGUGCGUCUUCCACAAUUUUGAACGUUGCAUGGGAAAGGGUUGUGUUACGUGCGUCUGAAGUGGUUUAUUCAACCACGAAGGGCGCAUACAGCUGGUCAAGUUCGUGCCUUCGUGGCAGACGUUCGAAAACAGUGCUCUGCGGAAGCCAUGCAAAUCUUCGCAAAGCU